RNAcentral lists this ribosomal RNA (426 nucleotides) under uncultured bacterium. Its description in RNAcentral is "bacterial SSU rRNA". It matches the Rfam family "Bacterial small subunit ribosomal RNA", at positions 354 to 796 of the family's 1533-position model. The record is from RNAcentral.
GUCGGGAAUAUUGCACAAUGGGCGAAAGCCUGAUGCAGCAACGCCGCGUGCGCGAUGAAGGCCUUCGGGUCGUAAAGCGCUUUUCGGGAGGAUGAGGAAGGACAGUACUCCCGGAAUAAGUCACGGCUAACUACGUGCCAGCAGCCGCGGUAAAACGUAGGUGGCGAGCGUUAUCCGGAUUUACUGGGCGUAAAGCGCGUUCAGGCGGCUUGGCAAGUCGGGCAUGAAAUCUCUCGGCUCAACCGGGAGAGGCUGUCCGAUACUGCUGGGCUUGAGGGCAGUAGAGGAUGGUGGAAUUCCGGGUGUAGUGGUAAAAUGCGUAGAUAUCCGGAGGAACACCAGUGGCGAAGGCGGCCAUCUGGGCUGCACCUGACGCUCAAGCGCGAAAGCUAGGGGAGCGAACGGGAUUAGAAACCCCGGUAGUCC